UGCCCGACUCCUACGGGAGGCAGCAGUGGGGAAUAUUGCACAAUGGGGGAAACCCUGAUGCAGCGACGCCGCGUGAGUGAAGAAGUACUUCGUUAUGUAAAGCUCUAUCAGCAGGGAAGAAAAUGACGGUACCUGAGUAAGAAGCCCCGGCUAACUACGUGCCAGCAGCCGCGGUAAUACGUAGGGGGCAAGCGUUAUCCGGAUUUACUGGGUGUAAAGGGCGUGUAGCCGGGAAGGCAAGUCAGAUGUGAAAUCCGGAGGCUCAACCUCCGAAUUGCAGUUGAAACUGUUUUUCUUGAGUACGGGAGAGGCAGGCGGAACUCCUUGUGUAGCGGUGAAAUGCGUAGAUAUAAGGAGGAACACCAGUGGCGAAGGCGGUCUGCUGGACAGCAACUGACGGUGAGGCGCGAAAGCGUGGGGAGCAAACAGGAUUAGAUACCCGUGUA
This 446-nucleotide ribosomal RNA is filed under the name uncultured bacterium. RNAcentral describes it as "bacterial SSU rRNA". It matches the Rfam family "Bacterial small subunit ribosomal RNA", at positions 329 to 792 of the family's 1533-position model. The record is from RNAcentral.